UCUCCGUUGGUGAACCAGCGGAGGGAUCAUUAUAGAGUGUAAAACUCCCAAACCCAAUGUGAAUCUUACCGCGUUGCUUCGGCGGCAGGAGCUCCGAGAGGAGACCGGCCGCCGGAGGACCCAAAAACUCUUGUAUUUGAAUGAGUCUUCUCUGAGUAGCGCAAGCAAAAACAAAAUAAAUCAAAACUUUCAACAACGGAUCUCUUGGUUCUGGCAUCGAUGAAGAACGCAGC
This 233-nucleotide unclassified non-coding RNA is filed under the name uncultured fungus. RNAcentral describes it as "sequence contains ITS1, 5.8S rRNA gene". The stretch from base 185 to 233 matches the Rfam family "5.8S ribosomal RNA", at positions 1 to 49 of the family's 154-position model. The record is from RNAcentral. Lineage: Eukaryota; Fungi.